This 27-nucleotide non-coding RNA is filed under the name Homo sapiens (human). Lineage: Eukaryota; Metazoa; Chordata; Mammalia; Primates; Hominidae. The record is from RNAcentral.
CGAACACGCCCUGGGACUCUGUGGUUC